UUCAGAAGCAUGGUUCCUGGGGUGAGAGGAUUGCUGAUUGGCUGAUUUUCAGAACAAAAUAGUGUCAGAGACGACUUCCUUCACCAGGGAAACAUCUUCUGUCCCCUCUCUCUCAGCUGAGGAGCCCAACACUCCUCUCUCGCUUGUCAACUUCUUACCAGAGAAGAGAGUUCCCGGCCAAGGAUCCCCAUGAGUCUCUUGGAUUAUGUCAUCCAGAGAGUUCCAGGAAGCAGUGGGGGGUGAAGGAACCAGAUGAGGCUGCCAACCCAGCAACACUUGCUCUAACCUCGGAAUUGCUUGCUUAGGAUGAAAGGCCAACCCUCCAGUCACUGAGGUUGACGAUCGUAGGAAGCAAGUGUGGAAGCAGGGCGACCAGUGAGGAGAUGGCUGCAGAGACCCAGCUGGGAGCUGAUGCUGGCCUGGCCUGGAGUGGGGGCAAAUAGAGAAUUUACAGGAAUACAUUCAUAUAUUUCCCGUGUAAUUUAAAACGAUUAAAAAGGUCCCUCAAUGAUGUGCAGAGGAAGGCUGGUGCCGACUGUCUGACUCCAGGUCAGCCCGCACUGCCCUGUGGCCCCGGAGCUGCCCUUCUCCAGAUGAUGAGCUCCAGGGUCAUUCUGAGUCACUACUGCCUUUGUCUCGAUCUCAGGGUUGAGUGGCCUCCCAGUUGUCAUGGUGCUGUUUUUUGACCCAAGGAUGGAGACCUGACUCAAGCCUAUCAAUCAGAGUGCUUCCCUGGGAAGUUGGACCAGGAACUGAUGAUUGGAGCUCUAACAUGGAACCUGUACCAUGGGUGGCCAUGGUGUUCUGCUCUGUGGGUCAGAAAAGCAGAUGGAGCUGAUCUGCAAAGCGAAAGAUAAGAACGAAGCACAUGUGUAGGCUUAGAGCAGAAGAGCUGAAACACGGAGAGUCCUGCUGGGGUUUGAGUUUCUGGUUGCAAUACAUAUUUGCCCCAGUUAAAGUCCCGUCCUUGGGUCCUGUGAGAUAUCCUGGAUCCUUAUCAUAAAUGUCAACUUUUUUCACUCCAUCUAACUCAAAUGUGUUUCUGACUACCAAAAGAGUCUGAAUAAUUUGUACUUCAAAUCUACUUCUAUCACCUCAGGUCUAAGCAGAAAUAGAUUUUCCAUGAAGUUCAUGAAGCUUAAGUUUCAGAGUUUCUCACUCACAAAGGCCCCUUCCAAAGCCCCAUUUUGUAUUUGUACUUUUUUUGUUUUAAGAUUGGCCCUGAGCUAACAUCUGUUGCUAAUCUUCCUCUUUUUUUUUCCUCCCCAAAGCCCCAGUGCAUAGUUGUACAUCCUAGUUGUAAGUGAUUCUAGUUCUUCUAUGUGGGACACUGCCUCAGCCUGGCUUGAUGAGCAGUACUAGGUCUGUGCCAGGGAUCCAAACUGGUGAACCCCUGGGCUGCCAACGUAGAGCAUGCAAACUUAACCACUUGGCCAUGGGGCUGGCCCCAGUACUUUUGUUUUCUUUUUCUUAAAGAGGGUGCCCCAAAUUGUAUAAGUUUCAGACCACAUAAAAUGUGGAUUUGCCCUGUGUAUGCUUUCCUCUCUGUAGUUGCAAAGGUUGGGUGAUUUCAGGAAGGCUCGUCCUCCAUAACACCAAACUCACGGCAACGUUAGGGCCUUUGGCGAGUCUCCUCUACCUGCAAGGUUUCUCCCCCAGACCUUUGCAGAGUUGGCUCCUUCUUAGGGAUCAGGUCUUACCUUCAGUGUCAUUGCCUCCAAGAGGCCUUCCCUGUAUACUCAGUCUAAGGAGUUCUGGGGUCUCUAUCACACCAUCCUCUUUAAUUUUCAUGACAAUUUCUCGUUUAUUCAUUUAUUUCCUUUUUGUCCAUCUCCUCCUGCUCUUUCUAAAAUGAAAGUACUGUAAGAGCAGGAACCCUGUCUUCUUUACUACUGUAUUCCCAAGCAUCUAGAAGAGCGCCUGGCACAUUGUAGGCCUUCAGUAAACAUGUGUUAGGAUUAUAUUUAUUUAUCAGAUAGUAAAGUGCUUGUGUGCUGGG
This 1999-nucleotide long non-coding RNA is filed under the name Equus asinus (donkey). RNAcentral's name for it is "lncRNA (ENSEASG00005026049.1)". Lineage: Eukaryota; Metazoa; Chordata; Mammalia; Perissodactyla; Equidae. The record is from RNAcentral.